GAUGAACGCUGGCGGCGUGCCUAAUACAUGCAAGUCGAGCGAACAGACGAGGAGCUUGCUCCUCUGACGUUAGCGGCGGACGGGUGAGUAACACGUGGAUAACCUACCUAUAAGACUGGGAUAACUUCGGGAAACCGGAGCUAAUACCGGAUAAUAUAUUGAACCGCAUGGUUCAAUAGUGAAAGACGGUUUUGCUGUCACUUAUCGAUGGAUCCGCGCCGCAUUAGCUAGUUGGUAAGGUAACGGCUUACCAAGGCAACGAUGCGUAGCCGACCUGAGAGAGUGAUAGCCCGCACGGGAGCGGGAACGCGGUCCAGACUCCUGCGAGAGGCAGCAGUAGGGAAUCUUCCGCAGUGGGCGAAAGCCUGACGGAGCAGCGCCGCGUGAGUGAUGAAGGUCUUCGGAUCGUAAAACUCUGUUAUGAGGGAAGAACAAAUGUGUAAGUAACUAUGCACGUCUUGACGGUACCUAAUCAGAAAGCCACGGCUAACUACGUG
RNAcentral lists this ribosomal RNA (497 nucleotides) under uncultured bacterium. RNAcentral describes it as "partial 16S ribosomal RNA". It matches the Rfam family "Bacterial small subunit ribosomal RNA", at positions 28 to 507 of the family's 1533-position model. The record is from RNAcentral.